GAUGAACGCUGGCGGCGUGCCUAACACAUGCAAGUCGAGCGAACAGACGAGGUGCUUGCUCCUCGGACGUUAGCGGGGGGCGUGUGACUAAACUGUGCUUAACCUACCUAUAAGACUGGGAUAACUUCCGGAAACCGGAGCUGAUACCGGAUAAUAUCUUGAACGUCAUGGUUCAAUAGUUAUAGACGGUUUUGCUGUCACUUAUACUUGGAUCCGCGCCGCAUUGGCUAGGUGUUAAGGUAACGUCUUACCAAGGCCACCAUGCGUAGCCGACCUGCGAGGGUGAUGGGCCACACUGGGACUGAGACACGGUACAGACUCCGAGGGGAGGCAGAGGUAGGGAAUCUUCCGCAAUGGGCGAAAGCUUGACGGAGGAACGCCGCGUGAGUGAUGAAGGGCUUCGGAUCGUAAAACUCUGUUAGUAGGGAAGACCAAAUGUGUAAGUAGCUAUGCACGUCUUGACGGUACCUGAACAAAAAGCCACGGCUAACUACGUG
This 497-nucleotide ribosomal RNA is filed under the name uncultured bacterium. Its description in RNAcentral is "partial 16S ribosomal RNA". It matches the Rfam family "Bacterial small subunit ribosomal RNA", at positions 28 to 507 of the family's 1533-position model. The record is from RNAcentral.